Molecule: ribosomal RNA, 301 nt
Filed under: uncultured bacterium
Lineage: Bacteria
Description: partial 16S ribosomal RNA
Rfam family: Bacterial small subunit ribosomal RNA
Source: RNAcentral
CAGCCGCCGCGGGAAUACAGAGGGUGCAAGCGUUAAUCGGAAUUACUGGGCGUAAAGCGCGCGUAGGUGGUUCGCCAAGUUGGAUGUGAAAUCCCCGGGCUCAACCUGGGAACUGCAUCCAAAACUGGCGAGCUAGAGUAUGGUAGAGGGUGGUGGAAUUUCCUGUGUAGCGGUGAAAUGCGUAGAUAUAGGAAGGAACAUCAGUGGCGAAGGCGACCACCUGGACUGAUACUGACACUGAGGUGCGAAAGCGUGGGGAGCAAACAGGAUUAGAUACCCGAGUAGUCCCUGUCUCUUAUAA